CCCACCCAUCCAUCCAUCCAUCCAUCCAUCCAUCCACCCACUAAAAUGUUGGUCCAAUGUAGCACAGCACUUCCUUUUGCAGAGCAUCUCAUGGUGCAGGCAUCGACGGGUCAGUGGUGCUCAUUAUGUGUAUCAGCCUCAUUUCCAUAGACAUGGAUGACCCCCCCCCACCACCACCACUUUGCACAUGUCUGAUAAAGCGGCACCUUCAAAAUAACCUCCUUUGAUUUCCAAACCUCCCUGUCCUCUUUAUCUGCCUCUCAUCGCUCCCUCUCAGCUGAUGGGGAGCUUAUUGUGGACAAAUAGGCUUAGGCUCGUCGCUAUAGCAACAGCGAAUAGCACACACACACAGACACACACAGACACACAAAGCCAGGGACAUUAGCACGUCUUCAAUCUCCCGCCGGAGAUGGUGGUGCCCCCGACCUACAGUGUCGGUGCAACAAGUCAAGGCAGGCCUUGUGGGGGGGGCUCCAGGGAGGAAGAGGAGGCUGCAUGUGUUGCAGAGAGAUAAUGGAGAGAGGACCAGAGAGGACAGCCAGGCUUGUCUCAGCAGCAUCCCACUGAAGAAGCUUUCUCUUUAUUUUUUGAAGUGCCAAGGACAUAAAGAGGGGACCGUAAAAGGAGCGCCCGGGGUCAUGGCCUCCUGGUUCGGCUGGAGCGAGCCUUACCACCGCAGCCCUCGCAGGGACCCGUCGGACGUGGUCACCGACACGCUGAUGGUGGAGUUCAGCUGGCAGCUGAAGGAGGCGGAGAGGCAGCAGAGAGAGAGGGAGAACGAGUACCGGCGCAUGAAGACCGGCGUGGACUACAGCUGGCUGGCCAGCACACCUCGCUCAUCCUACAGCCUCAGCACCGGGGAGAAGCUGGGCCUGGAGGACCUCUGCUCCAAGGUGCCGCCAUCUUGCUGUGGACUGGUCAUACUCAAGUUCCGUGAUGCCAUUCGAGCCAGCGAGCCCGAGGUACAGGAAGUGUCCGGCCUCUUCCGGUCUGUCCUCCUGCAGGCCGUGGACCAAAUGAAGGAGGAGCAGCAAGCCCAGCGUCUCGCCCGCCAGUGGAACAACAAACGUGCUAUGAGCACGUCCCUGGUGAACUUCAGGUCCCGCAUCAGGAUCAACCCGUUCGGCAGCACUGCGGGCCUGACGUCGGCAGACGGGGCCGGCCUGAGCGACCUGAAGACGGUGUCGGAGGACGUGGAAAGAUGCAUGGAGAGGGAGGAGAGGGUGUGGAGCAUGCCGGACUUCAGAUACAAAGGGACGAGCGGCAGUAAACUGGUCUGAUGGGGACAGUGAGGAACAGUGAAGUGGCCUCUCCUGCUUAUCUGCAACACGUUCGUUCCACAUGAUCCGGGACGAAGCUCAACUUGAUCUUCUUCAGCAGGACACCACUCCACUUUUUUCCGUCAGCAGGUCCUUCUCAUGCCUGGAAGUCUCGGCCACGUUGCAUCGUGUACUUAGAGACAUAUGCAGAUACAACUGCUUUCUGGACUUACUGCGAGAGUCUAGUAAGAAAGCAGAUUGAAUCGUCAUCAAAUUGGUAAUGAAAACAUUUUUAAAAGAACACAAUUUGCAUGUUAACGUACCGCUACUUCUGGAGCUACUCCGGCUGCGAAUGGACGAAUGUGACGAGCUGGUCGACGAAGAAGACGACGACGACGACGAUGCUGAGGAUGAAGAUGAAGAUGACGGUGACGCGGAAGAGGAGGACGAGGACGAUCUACUACGGCUUCGUUUUCGCUUUCUCUUUUCUCUUCCUGCAUAAACAGAAGAUUACUGAUGCACGGCAAGCGCUGCACAAAUCCUCUGAAAACCACGUUAGUAAUGAAGUUUGCAUCUGCACACUAUAAUAUAGCACUUGCCUCGGCUCUUGUCAUCUGUCCUGGAACUGGACACUCUGCACUCUGCUUUUGUUGACUUAAAAAAAGAAGAACAUUUUGAUUAUUCUGACGAUAUUGCUUUUGCUGCUGCUUACAACACAUAUGCCAGACAUUGUAAAAUCUAAUAGCUACAGUUGGACAUUUAACAAUAAAUCAAACCGGGAAACUGUUGUGAUUACCCACCAAAAUUGAACAGUGUUGAGAUAUAAAAAGUUGCACACAAACCAAUAUAACAUUGCCACUAGUAGCUAUCGCUCCGGCGGAUUAUGUUAAGAGCAUUCAAUGUUGCUAAGCUAACACUAAAUUGCAUUCAUAUAUAAAGCAAUGCUUAUAAUAGAUGGCGAUUUACGACACUCACCAUGGUAGUAGUUAACCACAAACACCUUGACAACGCAACAAAAUUGGAUCCACACACUGAUGCGCCGUAGGUUAGCUGUAGCUAACAAGCACAGGAGCCAUUUUGUAUCCCAGAAUGCACCACGACUGGCUUCGUUCACAACACGGAAGUAGUCAAAGGUCUUGGUUUGUUUCAUGGCAGAAGCGCCAAACCAACGCGGAAGUACUCCGCCACCACCCGCUUUAGAUGAACUUGAGACUCAUUAAGCUAUGCUAAAUGUUGGUAGUUUUACGGAGAAGGUACGUAUUUUGUGACUUGUUUAUACAUUUAAGUGUUGCCCUGGGAAUGCUUACUUGCCAGGCGGGAUUAAAUACGGAUAUUUUCCUUGACCACAAUUAACUCCCACUGCUGGCACUUGUGAGCAUUGUACUGUAUAUAAAACACGACAUAGGGCCCUUUUGUAUUACCGUAGAAAGUGCAGUGUCAUUCAGCAAAUUCGUUAAUCUAGUACAGUAUCUCAACAGAUUUCCCCCUCUCAUCUAGUUAAAUUAACUACGCAAAGUAUUAGAAACAGUUCCCUGUAUGGUGCCGAUAAGGUGAUGGUGAUUUCACAAAACACACACAUUUGGCUAAUAACGUACAAAACAUUUAUUAUGGCAGUGAUAGUACAAGUACAUUUUGUAUAAAAGACAAAAUAAAAAAUAAUGCACAUAAAUGGUCAAAAACAAGAGAUUAACUCUAAAUGUCAGUUUCAUCUUGCCCCGCAGCCCUGUUUUGUUAAUACAAUGAAACACUCCGCAUAGGAGCUUUGUCUAACAGUGUCGUAAAUGUAGUGAAAAUGAGAAAUGACCUGCCUUAUGGAAGGAUGCAUUUUGUAUGAAUAUCGUGCAUAUGUUUUUUUUCUGUGUGUAAUUAAUAUGCUGUCAUUUGAAAUCAUAAAAAUGAAAUCAUAAAAAUCCAGUACCGGUUACCUUUUACACCACAGGGCUACCAUCAAACUGACUAUGUCAAUCCAUGAAAAUGUGAAGUAGUAUGUACAUAAAAGAAUACAUAUGAUGUAAUUAAAAGCAAAUAAUAAUAUAAGCCUCAGCGUACAGAGACACACACAGGUUGGUUCAUUACAGGAAUAUUGUUCUUCUAAAGGUAAGGGGUGAGGUAGCCCUUCCAUCCCUGUUUUUCAUCAGUUUGUGUGAAUGAAGUACAAUGUAAUACUUGAAAGCUAAAAUACACACUCUACUAAUACUGUUAAAAACACUCUACUAAUACUGUUAAAACAUGCUUGUAUGCUUGAUAAAGUAAAUAAAGAAAAGGCUUACAGCUGUGUUCCAGCAUUGAUUUAUGAAUGAAUCAUAUGUCCAUUGCUAAUUUCAAACCCCCAAAACAAAACAUCAAUGUAUGAUGCUGAUUAUAUUCCAUAAAGUGUGUAGUUUUAGGGAAGGUUUUUUUUUUUUAAAUCUCAGUGUAUAUGUAUUUUUAAUAACAAUUGAUAAUUGUUUAUGUUGAUAUGUAUCUCUACUUCCCAUAGCUGACUCCAUGUUCUGCUUUAGACGACACACUACUUUAGACUGAAUCAACAGCGCCUCCGCUGGUUGCAGUGAGGUAGUGCACUCCAGUUCGCCUCAAUUGCUUCAAGACACGAUUAAUCAGCAAUUAAUGUAUUAUUAUGCCCAUCUCUAAGUUUUUUAUUUAUGGAAGAUGUGAAAUACAGUGAGACCUACUGCUUUUUUCUGAACUGUCAACUCAAUCUGAACUGUGAUGGAAAGCAUUGUGGAGUGAUAACGUUCCCUCGUGCAUUUUCUGAUUCCAGGUUUAAACCUCUGCUUUGUUCUUAGAGUGAUCUGCAUGAGCCAAGCUCUCCUCGUUGUCCUCCUCCUCUGCAGGGACCUGGGAAAACAACAACAAAAAUCACCACGGAGAAAGCAAACGGUUAAAUAUUGUAUUAAUUGAGCCACCGCCCGCUUAUGAUGCAGAAUGUGAGUUUAAUCAUGACAAACAUCUCUUACAGCUACCGUCUCUGAAAUUGUGCAGGAUUUCUUACCU
Dunckerocampus dactyliophorus (ringed pipefish) is the source of this 4253-nucleotide RNA transcript. It is a transcript of the gene named retinal degeneration 3, GUCY2D regulator, with no coding region annotated. The transcript is spliced from 4 exons. The record is from RefSeq and is a predicted model, not a curated record. Lineage: Eukaryota; Metazoa; Chordata; Actinopteri; Syngnathiformes; Syngnathidae.